RNAcentral lists this long non-coding RNA (321 nucleotides) under Solanum tuberosum (potato). Its description in RNAcentral is "long non-coding RNA (STUB_LNC003694)". The record is from RNAcentral. Lineage: Eukaryota; Viridiplantae; Streptophyta; Magnoliopsida; Solanales; Solanaceae.
AGUUCACUAAUUAAUAUUAUUCUUAAAAUUAAAGUUUGAAUACAUAUUUUGUUUACAUUAUGAUAUCAAAAAGUAUUUUUAGAAUUAAUGUUUGAAUACUAAAAUUCUUUAUUUUCUUUUACACAGGUACAUGAAUGAUGAAGAUGUAAAAAAGUCACUUAAUGAGUGAAAAUGUAAGAUAAUGGAGCACUGGUAUACAAGGAAACUACAUAGUUUUAUAUUUUUGAAUUUGUUAUUGUUUUCGUAUCUCAAUUAGAUUUAUCUAUUUUUGUUUGAGUAAUUUCACUUAAUUUACUUAAUGAGUUUGUAUGCAAGUGUUAU